GAACGUACGCUGGCGGCACGCCUAACACAUGCAAGUCGAACGAAGUAGCAAUACUUAGUGGCAGACGGGUGAGUAACAUGUAGGUAUCUGCCCUUUGGCCUGGAAUAACACGAGGAAACUUGUGCUAAUACCGGAUAAGUCUUUACGGAGAAAGCUUUAUGCACCAUUGGAUGAGCCUGCACUUGAUUAGUUUGUUGGUGGGGUAAUGGCCUACCAAGACUGUGAUCAAUAGCUGAUUUGAGAGGAUGAUCAGCCACAUUGGGACUGAGACACGGCCCAAACUCCUACGGGAGGCAGCAGUGGGGAAUCUUGCACAAUGGAGGAAACUCUGAUGCAGCGAUGCCGCGUGAGUGAAGAAGGCCUUUGGGUUGUAAAGCUCUUUCGUCGGGGAAGAAAAUGACUGUACCCGAAUAAGAAGGUCCGGCUAACUUCGUGCCAGCAGCCGCGGUAAUACGAAGGGACCUAGCGUAGUUCGGAAUUACUGGGCUUAAAGAGUUCGUAGGUGGUUGAAAAAGUUAGUGGUGAAAUCCCAGAGCUUAACUCUGGAACUGCCAUUAAAACUUUUCAGCUAGAGUAUGAUAGAGGAAAGCAGAAUUUCUAGUGUAGAGGUGAAAUUCGUAGAUAUUAGAAAGAAUACCAAUUGCGAAAGGCAGCUUUCUGGAUCAUUACUGACACUGAGGAACGAAAGCAUGGGUAGCGAAGAGGAUUAGAUACCCUCGUAGUCCAUGCCGUAAACGAUGUGUGUUAGACGUUGGAAAUUUAUUUUCAGUGUCGCAGCGAAAGCGAUAAACACACCGCCUGGGGAGUACGACCGCAAGGUUAAAACUCAAAUGAAUUGACGGGGACCCGCACAAGUAGUGGAGCAUGUGGUUUAAUUCGAAGAUACGCGCAGAACCUUACCAACACUUGACAUGUUCGUCGCGACUCUAAGAGAUUAGAGUUUUCGGUUCGGCCGGACGAAACACAGGUGCUGCAUGGCUGUCGUCAGCUCGUGUCGUGAGAUGUUGGGUUAAGUCCCGCAACGAGCGCAACCCUCACUUUUAGUUGCCAUCAUUAAGUUGGGCACUCUGAAAGAACUGCCAGUGAUAAGCUGGAGGAAGGUGGGGAUGACGUCAAGUCCUCAUGGCCCUUACGUGUUGGGCUACACACGUGCUACAAUGGUAUUUACAACAGGAAGCAAGACUGCGAAGUUAAGCAAAUCCCUAAAAGAUACCUCAGUUCGGAUUGCACUCUGCAACUCGAGUGCAUGAAGCUGGAAUUACUAGUAAUCGUGGAUCAGCGUGCCACGGUGAAUGCGUUCCCGGGUCUUGUACACACCGCC
Molecule: ribosomal RNA, 1321 nt
Filed under: uncultured Alphaproteobacteria bacterium
Lineage: Bacteria; Pseudomonadati; Pseudomonadota; Alphaproteobacteria
Description: bacterial SSU rRNA
Rfam family: Bacterial small subunit ribosomal RNA
Source: RNAcentral